UACGUAGGGGCCGAGCGUUGUCCGGAGUUAUUGGGCGUAAAGCGCGCGCAGGCGGCUUCGCGCGCCCGACGUGAAAGCCCCCGGCUUAACCGGGGAGAGUCGUUGGGGACGGCGGAGCUUGAGGGCGGGAGAGGUCGGUGGAAUUCCCGGUGUAGUGGUGAAAUGCGUAGAGAUCGGGAGGAACACCUGUGGCGAAGGCAGCCGACUGGGCCGACCCUGACGUUGAGGCGCGAAGGCGUGGGGAGCGAACGGG
Molecule: ribosomal RNA, 253 nt
Filed under: uncultured bacterium
Lineage: Bacteria
Description: partial 16S ribosomal RNA
Rfam family: Bacterial small subunit ribosomal RNA
Source: RNAcentral